UAUUCGAUAAGUCAUAACGACUCUCAGCAACGGAUAUCUCGGCUCUCGCAUCGAUGAAGAAGGUAGCAAAAUGCGAUACGUGGUGUGAAUUGCAGGAUCCCGUGAACCAUCGAGUUUUUGAACGCAAGUUGCGCCCGAAGCCUUUAGGCCGAGGGCACGUCUGCC
This 165-nucleotide ribosomal RNA is filed under the name Debregeasia elliptica. RNAcentral's name for it is "5.8S ribosomal RNA". The stretch from base 19 to 165 matches the Rfam family "5.8S ribosomal RNA". From Rfam's summary of the family: 5.8S ribosomal RNA (5.8S rRNA) is a component of the large subunit of the eukaryotic ribosome. Lineage: Eukaryota; Viridiplantae; Streptophyta; Magnoliopsida; Rosales; Urticaceae. The record is from RNAcentral.